Molecule: ribosomal RNA, 237 nt
Filed under: uncultured bacterium
Lineage: Bacteria
Description: partial 16S ribosomal RNA
Rfam family: Bacterial small subunit ribosomal RNA
Source: RNAcentral
CCGGCACGGGUGAGUAACACGUAUCCAACCUGCCGUCUACUCUUGGACAGCCUUCUGAAAGGAAGAUUAAUACAAGAUGGCAUCAUGAGUCCGCAUGUUCACAUGAUUAAAGGUAUUCCGGUAGACGAUGGGGAUGCGUUCCAUUAGAUAGUAGGCGGGGUAACGGCCCACCUAGUCUUCGAUGGGUAGGGGUUCUGAGAGGAAGGUCCCCCACAUUGGAACUGAGACACGGCCCAG